UGUUUUUCUACCAAAGUUGGUUCACUUACUUGAACUUCGAUGUUUGGACAUGAGGAGUAAUCUGGACACUAAGACGGCAUGUGAUGAAAAGUAGUUUGUUUAUAUUUCUGUUGAUUUGAGUUUUAAUUACGUGAUAAGUAUGACGAGAUAAGAUCAUGUAUGAGGGCUUUAUUAAUUUGGGAUCACGUGUGUUCUUGUUUCCAAGCUGCACGGCCCAGAACACAAACUAUCCAGAGAGCCUCAAACCAUUUCCAGCUGUCACUUCCCUGCUCCGGUCUCUUACUCCUAACCUGAUCUGACAGGGCAAGAAGAGGAGCAUCCUGUGACCCCCGACCUCCCGGACAAUAGAGGCCAGGACGUUUCCCAGUGAGCGCCGAUGGAGCCAACAACAGGAACAUGAGGGGUGCUCCUGGGAAACAAACUGUUUAUUGUGCAGCAGGAUGGACGCCCCCCCACCCCCACCCCCCAUGUCCCAAUCACUUACUUUCACACACAAUCACAGACACACACUGCACACCUCUGCAGAGUGAAAUCCUAUCAAACAACAGGUGGCUACAAACAGAACAGUCAGGAGAGUUGUAUUCCAAGCUUUAGACAACUGUAUUUCCUCUUGUAUAUAGGUCACACAAUAUAACCACACUGUGACUAA
Molecule: long non-coding RNA, 649 nt
Organism: Labrus mixtus (cuckoo wrasse)
Lineage: Eukaryota; Metazoa; Chordata; Actinopteri; Labriformes; Labridae
Exons: 3
Source: RefSeq, a predicted model, not a curated record